RNAcentral lists this ribosomal RNA (458 nucleotides) under Clostridiaceae bacterium 'ARUP UnID 216'. RNAcentral's name for it is "bacterial SSU rRNA". It matches the Rfam family "Bacterial small subunit ribosomal RNA", at positions 29 to 504 of the family's 1533-position model. The record is from RNAcentral. Lineage: Bacteria; Bacillati; Bacillota; Clostridia; Eubacteriales; Clostridiaceae.
AUGAAUGCUGGCGGCGUGCUUAACACAUGCAAGUCGAGCGAGAGAGUCUCUUCGGAGACAAUCUAGCGGCGGACGGGUGAGUAACACGUGGGCAACCUGCCUUGUAGUGGGGGAUAGCCCUCCGAAAGGAGGAUUAAUACCGCAUAAYAUUGCUUUAAGGCAUCUUAGAGCAAUCAAAGGAGUAAUCCGCUACAAGAUGGGCCCGCGGCGCAUUAGCUAGUUGGUGGGGUAAUGGCCUACCAAGGCGACGAUGCGUAGCCGACCUGAGAGGGUGAUCGGCCACAUUGGGACUGAGACACGGCCCAGACUCCUACGGGAGGCAGCAGUGGGGAAUAUUGCACAAUGGGGGAAACCCUGAUGCAGCAACGCCGCGUGAGUGAUGAAGGUCUUCGGAUUGUAAAGCUCUGUCUUCGGGGACGAUAAUGACGGUACCCGAGGAGGAAGCCACGGCUAACUAC